GAUGAACGCUGGCGGCGUGCCUAAUACAUGCAAGUCGAGCGAACAGAUGAGGAGCUUGCUCCUCUGACGUUAGCGGCGGACGGGUGAGUAACACGUGGAUAACCUACUUAUAAGACUGGGAUAACUUCGGGAAACCGGAGCUAAUACCGGAUAAUAUAUUGAACCGCAUGGUUCAAUAGUGAAUGACGGUUUUGCUGUCACUUAUAGAUGGAUCCGCGCCGCAUUAGCUAGUUGGUAAGGUAACGGCUUACCAAGGCAACGAUGCGUAGCCGACCUGAGAGGGUGAUCGGCCACACUGGAACUGAGACACGGUCCAGACUCCUACGGGAGGCAGCAGUAGGGAAUCUUCCGCAAUGGGCGAAAGCCUGACGGAGCAACGCCGCGUGAGUGAUGAAGGUCUUCGGAUCGUAAAACUCUGUUAUUAGGGAAGAACAAAUGUGUAAGUAACUAUGCACGUCUUGACGGUACCUAAUCAGAAAGCCACGGCUAACUACGUG
RNAcentral lists this ribosomal RNA (497 nucleotides) under uncultured bacterium. RNAcentral's name for it is "partial 16S ribosomal RNA". It matches the Rfam family "Bacterial small subunit ribosomal RNA", at positions 28 to 507 of the family's 1533-position model. The record is from RNAcentral.